CCCCGCGUCCUUUCUUAAGAGAUGGAGCAAUCGUCACUCGACAGCUCAAAGCUGACCGGUACAACCCGCGUGCUUGCCUACUCGUCCCGGCCUAUUUGUACCCAGCUACAAUCUCUUCCCUUAUAAAAGAAAAAAGGGCCCCUCGGCCAAUCGUCACUCGACAGCUCGAAAGCGGAUCAGUAAAAAACCAUGUGAUCUGUACUUGUUUACGUACUGCCCCUUAGGCCUAGGGCUUCGUC
RNAcentral lists this long non-coding RNA (239 nucleotides) under Nicotiana benthamiana. Its description in RNAcentral is "long non-coding RNA (NBEN_LNC005567)". The record is from RNAcentral. Lineage: Eukaryota; Viridiplantae; Streptophyta; Magnoliopsida; Solanales; Solanaceae.